GAAAUGCGAUAAUUAAUGUGAAUUGCAGAAUUCAGUGAAUCAUCGAGUCUUUGAACGCACAUUGCGCCCCCUGGUAUUCCGGGGGGCAUGCCUGUCCGAGCGUCAUUGCUGCCCGCAAGCACGGCUUGUGUGUUGGGCUUCCGUCCCUGGCAACGGGGACGGGCCCAAAAGGCAGUGGCGGCACCAUGUCUGGUCCUCGAGCGUAUGAGGCUUUGUCACCCGCUCCCGUAGGUCCAGCUGGCAGCUAGCCUCGCAACCAAUCUUUUUAACCAGGUUGACCUCGGAUCAGGUAGGGAUACCCGCUGAACUUAAGC
This 314-nucleotide unclassified non-coding RNA is filed under the name plant metagenome. RNAcentral describes it as "partial contains 5.8S ribosomal RNA, internal transcribed spacer 2, and large subunit ribosomal RNA". The stretch from base 1 to 105 matches the Rfam family "5.8S ribosomal RNA", at positions 50 to 154 of the family's 154-position model. The record is from RNAcentral.